Molecule: small nuclear RNA, 107 nt
Filed under: Marmota marmota marmota (Alpine marmot)
Lineage: Eukaryota; Metazoa; Chordata; Mammalia; Rodentia; Sciuridae
Source: RNAcentral
GUGCUCACUUCGGCAGCACAUAUACUAAAACUGGAACGAUACAGAGAAGAUUAGCAUGGCCCCUGUGCAAGGAUGACACACAAAUUCAUGAAGUGCUCCAUAUUUUU